RNAcentral lists this transfer RNA (72 nucleotides) under Phaeodactylibacter sp. Its description in RNAcentral is "tRNA-Lys". The record is from RNAcentral. Lineage: Bacteria; Pseudomonadati; Bacteroidota; Saprospiria; Saprospirales; Haliscomenobacteraceae. RNAcentral also lists the same sequence under 1 other name.
GGCUCCGUGGCGUAACGUUAGCGUACCCGACACUUUAUCGGGGGGUGCAGUGUUCAAUUCCUGCCGGGGCCA